UGGGCUUGACAUCCCACGAACCUGCCCGAAAGGGUUGGGUGCCCGCAAGGGAGCGUGGAGACAGGUGGUGCAUGGCUGUCGUCAGCUCGUGUCGUGAGAUGUUGGGUUAAGUCCCGCAACGAGCGCAACCCUCACCCCUUGUUGCCACCGGGUUAUGCCGAGCACUCUAGGGGAACUGCCAGCGUCAAGCUGGAGGAAGGCGGGGAUGACGUCAAGUCAUCAUGCCCCUUACGCCCUGGGCGACACACGUGCUACAAUGGCUGGUACAAAGGGAUGCAAGACCGCGAGGUGGAGCUAAUCCCAAAAAACCGGUCUAAGUUCAGAUUGCAGUCCGCAACUCGACUGCAUGAAGGAGGAAUCGCUAGUAAUCGCGCAUCAGCACGGCGCGGUGAAUACGUUCCCGGGCCUUGUACACACCGCCCGUCACACCACGAAAGCCGGCUGUACUCGAAGUCGCUGAG
This 461-nucleotide ribosomal RNA is filed under the name uncultured Methylomirabilota bacterium. Its description in RNAcentral is "bacterial SSU rRNA". It matches the Rfam family "Bacterial small subunit ribosomal RNA", at positions 976 to 1434 of the family's 1533-position model. Lineage: Bacteria; Methylomirabilota (SeqCode). The record is from RNAcentral.